RNAcentral lists this ribosomal RNA (399 nucleotides) under uncultured bacterium. RNAcentral describes it as "bacterial SSU rRNA". It matches the Rfam family "Bacterial small subunit ribosomal RNA", at positions 29 to 429 of the family's 1533-position model. The record is from RNAcentral.
AUUGAACGCUGGCGGAAUGCUUUACACAUGCAAGUCGAACGGCAGCACGGGGGCAACCCUGGUGGCGAGUGGCGAACGGGUGAGUAAUACAUCGGAACGUGCCCAAUCGUGGGGGAUAACGUAGCGAAAGCUACGCUAAUACCGCAUACGAUCUACGGAUGAAAGCGGGGGAUCGCAAAGACCUCGCGCGAAUGGAGCGGCCGAUGGCAGAUUAGGUAGUUGGUGGGGGUAAAGGCUCACCAAGCCGACGAUCUGUAGCUGGUCUGAGAGGACGACCAGCCACACUGGGACUGAGACACGGCCCAGACUCCUACGGGAGGCAGCAGUGGGGAAUCUUGGACAAUGGGCGCAAGCCUGAUCCAGCCAUUCCGCGUGCAGGAUGAAGGCCUCGGUUGUAAC